UCAAAGUUAGGAUUGAUAAUUUCAACUGGAAAAUAUUACAUAUUAUUCGUUAGAUAAAUUGGCUAGACACAAAAAUAAAAUAAAAUAUACAAUAAAAAACUUAAGUUUAAUUCUUUUGUAAUAUAUAAACCUUACACAACCAUAAAAUAAAAUAUACAAUAAAAAUUUUAAGUUUAACUAGAUAAGAAACUAGAUAAGAAGCCCCGCUUCGCGGAGGUUGGAUUCGACGCUAAUAUUAAAGAAAACCGAUGGAAGACAUUAUGUAGUAAAGUAGAAGCAAACUGAGAUAUAUUCUCUUUUUAAAACACAUAUGUUGGGUACAAAACUACUUAAACCAAAUUUAGUCAAAGGCAACACCAAUCCAACUGCUUCCGCUCGAAUAAGCUCUUGCGGCUUUGAGAUCCCUUAAGUGAUGAUUUUGUAAAAAUUUACAAAUAGAAAAAUUAUAAAUGGGUUUCAAAUACUUAUUAUUUUUUAGGACUGACCAAAAUGCCCUUUGCUAAAAAUAAUACAUAAUGAUAACAAAGUUUUGAUUAAAUUGUAUAUACUUAACCUCUCCCACAAGAUCAUCUUCAGAACGAUCCGAGAAAUUAAAAAUGAAGGUUAUGCCCCUGAAAUGUUUUGAAUAAAAAUCAUUGGCAUCAAUAAGCAAUUUUAUGAAUUAAAUAUUGAUACCAAAUAUAAUGGUAACUAAACUGAAAUCAGGCAAAAUGGCAAGCAGUUUUGUUAAUUCAAGUUGAAAGUUGGAUAAAUAAGAUAACAAACUUUCAAAUUGAUAAACAGAAAAAAAAAAACAGCAGAUUUGAGAAAUUAAAAUGACAGUUAUGCCCCUUUAAUGUGUUGAAUAAAAAUCAUUGGCAUCAAUAAGCAAUUUUCUGAAUUAAAACUGAUAGUUGGAUAAAUAAGAUAACAAACUUUCAAAUUGAUAAACAGAAAAAAAAAAAAAACCAGCAGAUUUGAGAAAUUAAAAUGACGGUUAUGCCCCUUUAAUGUGUUGAAUAAAAAUCAUUGGCAUCAAUGAAGUUACAGGUUAGAAUUUCCGCUAAAAAUACAUAACAUUCAAUCAGAUUAACAAUGCUUGAAUAAAUCCGAAUUGAAAGAGAAGCACAAUUACACCAUAAAUAGUUUUAUAGCAAUGCACUAUAAACAUGCAAAAGAGGUGAGAAAAUUUAAGCAUACCUAAUUGCAGAAUGUAAGCCAACUUCGCUGUGAUUUUUCUUGUGCUCCUGCUGCUCUUCAUUAUAUGUGAGUGAAAGGAUGAAGGGAAUUGUGAAGUAAUNNN
Molecule: long non-coding RNA, 1282 nt
Filed under: Lactuca sativa (garden lettuce)
Lineage: Eukaryota; Viridiplantae; Streptophyta; Magnoliopsida; Asterales; Asteraceae
Description: long non-coding RNA (LSAT_LNC001992)
Source: RNAcentral